GCCUCUCCACCCCUUAAAACUGUCUGAACCUCCUUCCACCCCAAAAACCCUAAAGGCCCCCUCAUUCAGUCUCUCAUCUCUCUCACUCUAACUAACCCUAGCCGCCCCAAACCCUUCAUUGUCUCCGCCGUCCUCCGCCGUUCAGAAAUCGCCUCACAGUGGAAGACCACCUCCAAUCCCACCCAAAUUCACACCAGACAACCAUCACAAUUUCCUCAUCUCGUAUCUACCAUCGAUUUCCCUAAAAUACCCACCCAUCUUCUCCAAUUUCAGAUAUAAAAAUAUAGAAAAACCUAAUCUUUCCUUCUUCUGAUUUCAUUGGCGGUACCAACUCGUUUUGGCCUAAAACGUAUGUUAAUCGAUUUCUCUUGUCAAGAGCAAUCGAUUAACAUUAGUUUCGGCUCAUUUCAAAGUCGUCAAAAUUUUACCAAAUCACCACUGACCGGCCAAACUUCGUCGUCAUCACCGUUCGUUGGCUUACCUCAUUCAUCAUCACGUUCUCGGCCAAAAUCAGUAUACCUUUCUCCUCAUAACACUUUGUUUCUUUUUCUAUUUUUGAAUUGUCAUUUAGGUGUUAAUCUUGAUUAGUUUGGUUAUUGAUUCGUUUAAUUUUAGUAGAAAUAGGUUUAUUUAGUUAAUUGCAUUGUUUAGUUUAAUUACAUGUGUUUAGGCUAAUUAAAUCAACUUUAGUCAACUCAGUAGAUUAGUUAGGUUUUAAUUAAUGGAUUGUUUCUGUUUUGGUUUAUCUCUGAUUUUUACCUUAAUUAUUUGAGUUUAGAGGUUUGAAUGCCAAUUGGAAAUUAGGAGGGUGAACGGGUAAUAAACAGAACUUGAAGGGGUUAAUUUGGAAGAAAAAAUGGAUACACUUUAGGUAAAAAUAUUAGAAAGUUCUAGUAUUGGACAGUUGUCCCUCUUUUUGGCGUGAAAAUGCUGAAAUUGGGUAAAAGGACAUACAACUGUACCAAAUCUACUAAAAAAAGAUGUUGUACUAUCCUAUUUUACAACUGACAUUUUCUGAUUUUUAGGGUAGAAUAUUCCCUAUUAUGCUUAUCUUUGUGCAUUGUAUAUACAGAACAGACUCUCACUCACUCAUAAAGACAUUCUAAUCAGCACACUCACUCUAAAAAGCAUCCUUGAAUACUGAUUUUUGAUUUGUCUCUUCAGUUUUUCUUUUAGUGGGAUAUAGAAACGGAAAAACCAAAAAAACAAUUCUCAAGGUUGUAUGUCUUUUCCUGCUGAUUCACUCCAUUAUGCUGGGAAUUUGUGUUUGAUUGUGGGUUCCUGUUUCUUGCUGGUUGUUGUUGUUUUUUUCUGCUAUUCUUUGCUAUUUGCUUCUUUUUCAAAGCUAGAGAUUUGUUUUCUAUUCUAGUCUAUCUUGCUAUAAUCAGGUACUCAUCUUAAAUCUAAGUUUCUGUUUUGGCAUGAAUGAGUUGAUUUCUUUAUUUGUUCCAUUAAAUCCUGAUCCUCCAUCAUCACUUGCUGAUUUUCCUUAUGUUUAGCAUGUUAAUCAAUAGAUCUUAUUUCAGUUAAACUCAUGAGUGUUGCUCUGUUUAUUUGGUGUGAAAAAUGGAAAAAAGCAUGACUCCAUUACUCUACUAUUUGAUUACUUGAAUUGAUAUGUUUAUUUUUGUAACUUUGAGUAUAUUUCUGAGUUAAAUGUCAUGUUGUGAAUUAGUUGAUUAUAACAUGGGAGCUGAUCUAGAUUGUUUAACUCUAAACAUUAGCUUAAAUAGCCUUUAAUAAUAUCUGAAGCAUGUAAUAUCAAUUAUUAAUUUUUUUAAGUUUGAAUACUGUUUCAGCCCUGUUUUAGACCAUGCAGAUUCAGUUCAAAAGAGUUUUUACUGUAGUGUUGGUUUAUGUGGAUUUGUGUUGGAGUUUGGAAUGUAAAAGAGAUGGUUUGUCACUGGAUAUGUGGCUAUGGCUUGCUAAUCUUACCACCAGUUGGGUCAGAUUGGUGAACUCUAAAGCUAAAGGAUGCAUUUGGAGUCAUCUAUGGAGGGAGAUUAAGUAGAAGAUUGACUAUUCUAUGAACCAUUCUUGUAUAAAUUUUAAAGUUAUAUUUGUUACUGUAUUACCAGAUCUGUAAAUAUUAGAAUAUAGUUGAUUUGUUAUGUUAACUCAAAGGGGUCAGUUUGUCCAUUUUCAC
Molecule: long non-coding RNA, 2146 nt
Filed under: Nicotiana tabacum (common tobacco)
Lineage: Eukaryota; Viridiplantae; Streptophyta; Magnoliopsida; Solanales; Solanaceae
Description: long non-coding RNA (NTAB_LNC000846)
Source: RNAcentral